ACUCCUACGGGAGGCAGCAGUGGGGAAUAUUGCACAAUGGGGGAAACCCUGAUGCAGCCAUGCCGCGUGUGUGAAGAAGGCCUUCGGGUUGUAAAGCACUUUCAGUAGGGAGGAAGGUAGUGUAGUUAACACCUGCAUUAUUUGACGUUACCUACAGAAGAAGCACCGGCUAACUCCGUGCCAGCAGCCGCGGUAAGUACGGAGGGUGCGAGCGUUAAUCGGAAUUACUGGGCGUAAAGCGCAUGCAGGCGGCCUGUUAAGUCAGAUGUGAAAGCCCGGGGCUUAACCUCGGAAUUGCAUUUGAAACUGGCAGGCUAGAGUCUUGUAGAGGGGUUAGAAUUUCAGGUGUAGCGGUGAAAUGCGUAGAGAUCUGAAGGAAUACCAGUGGCGAAGGCGGCCCCCUAGGACAAAGACUGACGCUCAGAUGCGAAAGCGUGGGAGCAAACAGGAUUAGAUACCCCUGGUAGACUGUCA
RNAcentral lists this ribosomal RNA (474 nucleotides) under uncultured bacterium. RNAcentral's name for it is "bacterial SSU rRNA". It matches the Rfam family "Bacterial small subunit ribosomal RNA", at positions 335 to 802 of the family's 1533-position model. The record is from RNAcentral.